This is a long non-coding RNA of Aethalodelphis obliquidens (Pacific white-sided dolphin), 3039 nucleotides long. RefSeq lists it as uncharacterized. The transcript has 2 exons. NCBI's taxonomy places the organism in Eukaryota, Metazoa, Chordata, Mammalia, Artiodactyla, Delphinidae. The record is from RefSeq and is a predicted model, not a curated record.
UCUUUGCAAAAUGAAUGUGAUAAUCCCGGCCUCUUCACCUCAUAAGAUAGUUGUAUGUUGCUGCUGCCUCCUGCCCAUAAAACCCCAGGUGAAUGCUAAUUACUGUUAUUACUAACAGACCAAUGCUUUCUGGGAGAGGUGAGUCCCGGUGACGGUGACAUCAUCAGGAAGGCUCAUGUAAGAAAGGAAUGGUCUCCUGGGACAUGAAGUCUCCUCUUCCCAGAAACCUUCGUCCUGCGUAUUACUCCGCAGGUUCACACGGGGUGACUCAGCCUGGAAACCUCCCGCCAGGAGGCACAUCAGCACGGGCAGAUCCACUGCUUUCUCGCCUGUCCUAGCUCUUCCUUCCUGCCCGGGAGGGUCCUACUGCACCUGCGUUCCAGCAAUACCCCCAGACACCUCCAAGCCCACCACCCUCCCCCAGACACGUGGCCCCAAUCCCUCUGUCUCUCCUGCCUGUGCGGAUGCCCUUCCAGCUCGGAGAGCUUUGGUAAAGAGGGGACAUCACCGCCCAACAGGAUGCCUAGGAAAUGCGUGUGUUCCUUUUUGCCCAGGAAGAGAUCUUGCUAAAGAACAAUCCUGAACUUUGUCCAAAUGGUUGAAAGCUUGACACGAGUCAUCUUCCUGUGAGCAUCUGAAAAACGCCUGUGUCCAAGCAGAACUGGAAGCACAGAUCUGCUCUUUCCUUUAGUCAAGACCUUGAAUUCCUGGAGCUGUUUCCUGCCCCACUCAUGGCCACGGUCCCUCUCAGGGGCUGCCAGGUAACAUGCAAGCCAAGCACUGCCGUGUGGCAGCGACAGAAAAUCCAAAGGAUCCAAGCGUCUACAGGAUGAAGCUGGAUCUCCCAAUGCUCUUCCCUGGUGGGUUCCCCCACUUCUUCCUAAAGAGCCUUAUUUCUUGUCCAAAAUCCUGAGACACUGGUGAAGGGGGGCAUUAAUAGGACUCUCAUUUUACAGGUGAAGAAGCCAAGUCCUUCUGGAGACAAAAGAGAUUUCAGGCAUGUUUCCUGUUUAGAGAAGGGCUUGCAGUUCCUCAUCCACAUUCCAGCCAGGGUUAGCCUGCUUGCUUGGCUUUUCUUUGCCAGCACUUGGCAGUGACCUACAUAGACCACGUGCCUAAUAAUAACUUGAACUUUAUUAGCACCCAACAUUCAAGGGUCUCUGGGCAUUUGGCAAAAGGCAGUAUUUAGUAAAUCACCUGCUUAUACCUCUGGGGCAGCCUUUGAAGAGAAGAGGCUGCCAGCUGGGAGUAUCGGCACAGCCGUCCCUUGUCUGACUUUUUUCUUUUUCAUUUAUUUAUCUGGAAAUCUCUAAGACCAUGGCUCACUUGUAAAGGUUGAUAUUUGAGAUAGAUAACAACUAGUCUGGCUCAGGUAUCGGCCAAUCAGGAUGGAUUUUGGCCAAGGGUACCCAACCAAGGCCCUACCCCCACUCCUGCCCCUGAUUGGCCAGGUAUUGUCCCUAAAGCUGCAGGUUUAGGGGAAGGUCUAGGGAGUUCCAGGGAAGGAGCCUAGGUGGUCAAGGUAGUGGGACAAUAGCUGUACCAAAGUGACAGGGAAGUAAUUCAGUAUUUAACCAGCUGACUGUCAACCCCGUACGUACCCGUAUUCUCAGUUCCUGGGAAGUACAGAUCCAUGCCACGUGGCUCAGCGUUCUCCUAAGCGUCCGUAAUGGUUAACCAUGGCAGGCUAAGGCGUAGAGGUGUUUGGAUUCAAGAGUCGUGGGGAUUUCAUUUUAGUGCAUCUUACCUCCUCUUUGGUCCCCUGGAGCUGGAGCUGGAUCAGGUGUAAGAAGAGUGGGUGCAAGUCACAAGUGAUAGCAUGAGAUGAUCAGAGUUAGGGAAGCCCAAGAGGGCCCCUAAGUCCAAAUGUCGGUGUAGAAUUCGAUGUGAGAGACAGAAUAGAACAGGACAGAUGCUGGGAAGAUCUAGGACAAGAGGGUCGAGGGGGUCAGAGGGUCUAAAAUCACUGCCUCGAAAGCUCCAUCACUCCUUGCCAGGGAAGCUUAACUGUGGUUAAAAACGUAAGGAAGGGUAGAGCUACUCAGUCCUCAACAGUUCUUAGAACUUCCUUGUGAAAACAUUUCCCCAAGGGUUUGCAACUCACCCAGCAAGCUCUUUCAGAAAAGUUAUCCCAGAGGCCAAAGCUGAUACUUAAGAAGGACCUUCAUUGUUUGAAGGGCUGCUUCCCACUGGGAAAAAGCAUGAUUUAGAUGGGUGGUCUUUUCCAUCACAGAGUCCAAAUUCUCUAGGACUCUGGCCACCUCGGAGCAGGGUAGCUUUAUAAAUUUUUACCGGUACAAUAAUUCUAAUAGAGCCAUUUUGGAAGUGGUCUCAAAGGCCACUGGAGAUGCAAGAAUUCUCCUGAUGGACGCAAAUUGCUUUCCAAACAUAUGAGUCCUUUCUGCUCUUCUGGGUGAAUGCCACGCAAUCCUCCAGCUGGCAUUUAGGGAGAACUAAUCACUUUCUACUAUUAACUUAUUACGUGAAUCAUUAAGGGUGACUGAAUUCGGAAUUCAUGCACCAAAAUGAGCGUGUCACCAGAAUACUUCUAUUCAGCAUUUAUCCAAAAUUCUAUCAUCUAUGCAACAUGUGGCAGCUUGCAGAGCUCCUGCUGUGCCUGCAAAACUGUCAGCAGCCAAAUGCCCACACUGAGGAGGAAGCAAGUUUUGUUUUCUGUCUGAGCAGUUGCUGCUACUGUGUUAUCCACGUGGUUGGUUUUAGAUUUUCUGAUCUUCUCUAAGAUGUUUAGGUUUCUGUAUUCGCCACAUCAGUAUUUGGGGCCGGUAAUUUUCUAGUUAACUAAAUUGGAAGAUACGUUGUGGUUCAAAUAGGAAUCAUCAUACCCCAGUUGCCAAAGCAAAUGUUUACGUAAUGCUACCCCCUCUCCCCAAAAGCAAACUGCUUAUGCGUUGACACUUUGUUAUUAUAAACAAGUCCCAUUGUUUCUUCCACUGGAAAGUGUAAAAGGACAGAAUAAAUGGACAACGAGGUCUCUUCCCCACCUGAGUGGGUUGAAGUGAAAAAAAAGAUGGAAAGUUA